GAUUCAGCCCCGUCCACAUCAGCCGGCCCACGGGCGGUUGCUCCCGGCCGCUGGUCGCGUCGCAAGGCGCACUCUGGUGCGAGUCAGGCGCACCGGCCGCCCGUGGUCAAAGGUGGCGGCAGGGUGCACUUCUGUUCCCGAGUUGGACGUCCCGACCCGUUGGAGGAGUCUACGGACGAAGCGGCCUAAGUCCCGGGACAGAGCCCGGGGGUGCUUCCGCUGAGGCGCGUGUGGAAGGUGCCCUUGGACCCCGGUUAAAGCCCGGCCGCCCUCCGACGGUCUUUAUGUCAAGGAGGAUAAAGGCCAACUACCUUGCGUUCGCGCGAGUGAGUGAGCGUCCGCCCCGUCGGGGCAAGCUAUCCGGUGGACUAUUCCGGGUGUCGCGUGGCUCUCGUCAUGCCCCCGGACCCCGGUUAGGCUGUUGGUCCCCAGCGCUCUCGGACAAUGGCCACUCCAGUCAGCGGCGCUUCUGCUUUGGGUACUCUCCCGACCCGUCUUGAAA
RNAcentral lists this ribosomal RNA (502 nucleotides) under Trinervitermes geminatus. Its description in RNAcentral is "partial 28S ribosomal RNA". The record is from RNAcentral. Lineage: Eukaryota; Metazoa; Arthropoda; Insecta; Blattodea; Termitidae.